Molecule: ribosomal RNA, 2216 nt
Filed under: Pyropia haitanensis
Lineage: Eukaryota; Rhodophyta; Bangiophyceae; Bangiales; Bangiaceae
Description: bacterial LSU rRNA
Rfam family: Bacterial large subunit ribosomal RNA (bases 933-2216)
Source: RNAcentral
AUAUUGUCAAAAAUGUUAAAAGCUGGCGUUAUGAAUGAAGGCAGUUAUCAAGAUACUGAAGAAGGUAUUCCACAGGGUGGUGUAAUAUCUCCUAUUAUAGCUAAUUUAUGCCUUGAUGGUUUAGAUAAAACUAUAAAAAGGGCGUCUAAUAAUAAAGCAACUCUUGUGAGAUAUGCGGAUGAUUUCAUUAUAGUGUCCCAGAACUAUGAUAUUUUAGAUAAGUUAAUUCUAGAUGUUAACAAAUUUCUAAAAAUAAGAGGUUUAGAAUUAAAUAUGGAAAAAAGUAAAAUCACUAAAAUUGAAAAUGGAUUUGAUUUUGUAGGUUUCCACUUUAGGGAAUUCUCGGAUUCUACUCGAGAAAUCGGGGAAAAGAAAGGGAUUUUUCUAUACAAACCUACAAAAGAAAGCUUACAAAAAGUAAAAGCUAAAAUAAAACUUUGUGUCAAAGAACAUUCGCAACUUCCUCUGUGAAUGCUUUUCUCAAAACUAAAUCCAAUAUUAAGGGGCUGAGCAAAUUAUUACUCGUCUAGUACUGCAAAGUUAGCUUAUACCCGAAUAAGUAAAUACGUUUUUGAUUCCAUUCAUCGCAUGAUAAAAAUUAAGCAUCCAAAGCUUAAUGCUAAAGCGCUUAAAUCCAAAUUUUAUCACAAAGUGAAUAAUAGAGAUUGAUUAAUGUCUACUAGCACUGAAUUUAAAAGAUUUAAGAAAAUUAAUUUGUUUCAAAUAUCCGACACUCCUAUUAAAAGAACUACUAUGAUAAAACUUGACGCUAAUUCCUAUUUGGGUGAGUUUGAGGAGUAUUUUAAUAAAAGAUCUUUGAAUAUGUGUUUUAAUCAGCAAACGAAUAAUAUUCGAUUAAAGCUGGCAAAAAGACAAAAAGGUAUGUGCCAUAUAUGUAAAUAAUCUUUAAAUAGUAAAUAUGGAGAUAUAUUGUACGAAUUAGAAAUUCACCAUAUCAUACCUGUGGUGAGUGGAGGUAAAAAUAUAUUAAAAAAUAUGACUCUUCUUCAUAAAACGUGUCAUCGCGACAGAGCUGCGUUAGAAAACUUUACUUAAGGAACUCGGCAAAUUUGCUCCGUACGUUCGCAACAAGGAGUACCUUAAAGGAUUCAAAAAUUAGGGGUAGCGACUGUUUAACAAAAACUCAAAACUUUGCAAAUUCGAAAGAAGACGUAUAAGGUUUGACGCCUGCCCAGUGCUUGAAAGCGAAAAAUACACGUUAACGCUUGUAUCAUAAACUCAAGUAAACGGCGGUCUUAACUAUAAGGAUCCUCAGGUAGCGAAAUUCCUUGGCGGGUAAAUUCCGUCCUGCAUGAAUGGCGUCACGACUACCCCACUGUCUCUAGUAUAAACUCAGCGAAAUUACAUUGUCUGUGAAAAUGCAGACAUCCUACAACAAGACGGAAAGACCCUAUGAUUCUUAACUAUAAUUUUACGUCGCAAUAAUUUUGUGUACAGUACAGUAAAAGUAGGAGUAUACUUAUACAAUUUUGAAAAACUACUCUGUACAUAAGAAAUUGCUUACUGAAGAGAAAAUAUGUAAAAGUGGUAGUUUACUUGGGACGAGGACCUCCUAAACUGUAACGGAGGUGCACAAAAGUAAAUUUUAAUUAGUUUUUUGUAUUAAUAAAAUAUGUAAUGGUAAAAAUUUGCUUGACGGUAAGAGUUACAACUCAAACCGGGACGAAAGUCGGUCAUAAUGAUCCGGCAGUAAUGUAUGGAAAUACUGUCGCUUAUCGGAAAAAAGAAACUCUAGGGAUAACAGAUUUAUCAUGGCUGAGAGUUCUUAUCGACGCCAUGGUUUGAUACCUCGAUGUCGGCUCAUCUUUUCCUGGAGCUGUAACAGGUUCCAAGGGUAUGGUUGUUCGCCAAAUAAUAAGAUACGUGAGCUGGGUUCAGAACGUCGUGAGACAGUUCGGUCCCUAUCUGUUGUGGGUAAGAAAAAACUUUCGUAAAUAGCUAAUCUCCACUUUAGGGAUUAAACUAAUAUUACAGGUAGGAAGCUAGUUCAUACAGAUCUAGUGGGCCUAUGCAUUACUCCUAAUGCUGAUCAAUGAGCUGUGUUACAAGCAGUGAACCCUAUGCAACGUGAAAAUAGUCAUUCACGGAGUAUAAGCAGGGCAUAAAUUUAAGUGGAUGUUACUUAUAAACAUUUUAACUCGAAGAGAAUAUAUAAAUCAGUAAAUCUGUCAAGAAAAGCAGUUAUAGAAGUAUAA